CCAAUGUAUGCUUUGGAAACUGUUAGACUNGAGUGCAGAAGGGGAGAGUGGAAUUCCAUGNGAAGCGGUGAAAUGCGUAGAUAUGUGGAGGAACACCGGUGGCGAAAGCGGCUCCCUGGUCUGUCACUGACGCUGAGGCUCGAAAGCGUGGGUAGCGAACAGGAUUAGAUACCCUGGUAGUNCACGCCGUAAACGCUGAGUGCUAGGUAUUAGGUCCUUUCCGGGACUUAGUGCCGACGCUAACGCAUUAAGCACUCCGCCUGGGGAGUACGACCGCAAGGUUGAAACUCAAAGGAAUUGACGGGGGCCCGCACAAGCGGUGGAGCAUGUGGUUUAAUUCGAAGCAACGCGAAGAACCUUAUCAGGUCUUGACAUCCCGAUGCCCGCUCUAGAGAUAGAGUUUUUCUUCGGAACAUCGGAGACAGGUGGUGCAUGGUUGUCGUCAGCUCGUGUCGUGAGAUGUUGGGUUAAGUCCCGCAACGAGCGCAACCCUUAUUGUUAGUUGCCAUCAUUAAGUUGGGCACUCUAGCGAGACUGCCGGUAAUAAACCGGAGGAAGGUGGGGAUGACGUCAAAUCAUCAUGCCCCUUAUGACCUGGGCUACACACGUGCUACAAUGGUUGGUACAACGAGUCGCAAGCCGGUGACGGCAAGCUAAUCUCUGAAAGCCAAUCUCAGUUCGGAUUGUAGGCUGCAACUCGCCUACAUGAAGUCGGAAUCGCUAGUAAUCGCGGAUCAGCACGCCGCGGUGAAUACGUUCCCGGGCCUUGUACACACCGCCCGUCACACCACGAGAGUUUGUAACACCCAAAGUCGGUGAGGUAACCAUUUAUGGGG
This 836-nucleotide ribosomal RNA is filed under the name uncultured bacterium. RNAcentral describes it as "bacterial SSU rRNA". It matches the Rfam family "Bacterial small subunit ribosomal RNA", at positions 614 to 1448 of the family's 1533-position model. The record is from RNAcentral.